AGUGGCGGACGGGUGAGUAACGCGUGGGUAACCUCCCUCAUACAGGGGGAUAACAGUUAGAAAUGACUGCUAAUACCGCAUAAGCGCACAGAAUCGCAAUGAUAAUGUGUGAAAAACUCCGGUGGUAUGAGAUGGACCCGCGUCUGAUUAGCUAGUUGGUGGGGUAAAGGCCUACCAAGGCGACGAUCAGUAGCCGACCUGAGAGGGUGAUCGGCCACAUUGGGACUGAGACACGGCCCAAACUCCUACGGGAGGCAGCAGUGGGGAAUAUUGCACAAUGGGGGAAACCCUGAUGCAGCAACGCCGCGUGAGUGAAGAAGUAUUUCGAUAUGUAAAGCUCUAUCAGCAGGGAAGAAGAUGACGGUACCUGAGUAAGAAGCCCCGGCUAACUACGUGCCAGCAGCCGCGGUAAUACGUAGGGGGCAAGCGUUAUCCGGAUUUACUGGGUGUAAAGGGAGCGUAGACGGCAUAGCAAGUCUGAAGUGAAAGCCCAAGGCUCAACCAUGGGACUGCUUUGGAAACUGUUAAGCUAGAGUGCUGGAGAGGUAAGCGGAAUUCCUAGUGUAGCGGUGAAAUGCGUAGAUAUUAGGAAGAACACCAGUGGCGAAGGCGGCUUACUGGACAGUAACUGACGUUGAGGCUCGAAAGCGUGGGGAGCAAACAGGAUUAGAUACCCUGGUAGUCCACGCUGUAAACGAUGAAUGCUAGGUGUUGGGGAGCAAAGCUUCUCGGUGCCGCCGCAAACGCAAUAAGCAUUCCUCUUGGGGAGGAGGUUCGCAGGAAUGAAUAUAUCAAAGGAAUUGUCGGGGGCCCGCCCAAGCGGUGGUGCAUGUGGUUUAAUUAGAAGCAACGAGAAGAACCUUCCCACUUCUUGACAUCCUGGUGAAGCAUGUAGAAAUAUAUGUUUUUUUCGUAACACUGGAGACAGGUGGUGCUUGGUGGUCGUCAGCUGUUGUCGUGAGAUGUUGGGUUAAUUCCUCCAACGAGCGCAACCCUUAUUCUUAGUAGCCGGCAGGAAAAGCUGGGCUCUUUAGGGAGGCUGCCAGGGAUCACCUGGAGGAAGGGGGGGAUGACGUCAAAUCAUCAUCCCCCUUAUGAUUUGGGCUACACACGUGCUACAAUGGCGUAAACAAAGGGAGGCGAAGGAGCGAUCUGGAGCGAACCCCAAAAAUAUCGUCUCAGUUCGGAUUGCAGGCUGCAACCCGCCUGCAUGAAGCCGGAAUCGCUAGUAAUCGCAGAUCAGAAUGCUGCGGUGAAUAAGUUCCCGGGUCUUGCACACACCGCCCGUCA
Molecule: ribosomal RNA, 1290 nt
Filed under: uncultured bacterium
Lineage: Bacteria
Description: bacterial SSU rRNA
Rfam family: Bacterial small subunit ribosomal RNA
Source: RNAcentral